RNAcentral lists this ribosomal RNA (448 nucleotides) under uncultured bacterium. Its description in RNAcentral is "bacterial SSU rRNA". It matches the Rfam family "Bacterial small subunit ribosomal RNA", at positions 8 to 456 of the family's 1533-position model. The record is from RNAcentral.
AGAGUUUGAUUCUGGCUCAGGAUAAACGCUGGCGGCGUGCCUUACGCAUGCAAGUCGAACGAAGCCCCUCGCUUCGGUGAGGGAGACUGAGUGGCAAACGGCUGAGUAACGCGUAGGUGAUCUGUCCCGAGGAGGGGAACAACCCGUGGAAACGCGGGCUAAUGCCCCAUACGCCCACCGGAUCGGACCGGUGGGGAAAUGUUCCGGCGCCUUGGGAGGAGCCUGCGUCCGAUUAGCUGGUUGGUGGGGUAACGGCCUACCAAGGCGACGAUCGGUAGCUGGUCUGAGAGGAUGAUCAGCCAGACUGGGACUGAGACACGGCCCAGACUCCUACGGGAGGCAGCAGCGAGGAAUCUUGCGCAAUGGGCGAAAGCCUGACGCAGCAACGCCGCGUGGGUGAUGAAGGCCUUCGGGUUGUAAAUCCCUUUUGCCGGGGAAGAACUUGACG